Molecule: ribosomal RNA, 497 nt
Filed under: uncultured bacterium
Lineage: Bacteria
Description: partial 16S ribosomal RNA
Rfam family: Bacterial small subunit ribosomal RNA
Source: RNAcentral
GAUGAACGCUGGCGGCGUGCCUAAUACAUGCAAGUCGAGCGAACAGACGAGGGGCUUGCUCCUUUGACGUUAGCGGCGGACGGGUGAGUAACACGUAGGUAACCUACCUAUAAGACUGGGAUCACUUCGGAAAACCGGCGCUAAUACCGGAUAAUAUUUCGAACCGCAUGGUUCGAUAGUGAAAGAUGGCUUUGCUAUCACUUAUAGAUGGACCUGCGCCGUAUUAGCUAGUUGGUAAGGUAACGGCUUACCAAGGCAACGAUACGUAGCCGACCUGAGAGGGGGAUCGGCCACACGGGAACGAAGCCACGUCCCAGACUCCUACGGGAGGAAGCAGUAGGGAACCUUCCGCAAUGGGGGAAAGCCGGACGAUGCAACGCCGCGUAAGGGAGGAUGUUCUUCGGCUCGUUAAACUCUUUUUUUAAGGAAGAACAAUCGGGUAAUUAACUGUGCACGUCUUGACGGUACCUAAUCAGAAAGCCACGGCUAACUACGUG